CAAUAGCGUAUAUUAAAAUUGUUGUAGUUAAAACGUUCGUAGUUGUAUGUCUGUUAUGCGUCUGAAUGGUCCGCUUCGGUGUGUGCCGUUCGUCCAUGACAUCCGUUUGCACAAUUCGUUGAGCAAACCGUUCACUUUGAGGAAAUUAGAGUGUUCAAAGCAGGCGUUGCCUUGAAUACUUCAGCAUGGAAUGAUAGAUAGGACUUCCGUUCUAUCCGUUGGUUCUAGGGGCGUGAGGUAAUGAUAAAUAGGGUCGGUCGGGGACAUUCCUACUGAGCAGUCAGGGGUGAAAUCCUGUAAUUUGCUCAUGAGGCACUACUGCGAAAGCAUUUGUCAAGGACGACCCCAUUA
This 351-nucleotide ribosomal RNA is filed under the name uncultured eukaryote. Its description in RNAcentral is "partial 18S ribosomal RNA". It matches the Rfam family "Eukaryotic small subunit ribosomal RNA", at positions 592 to 975 of the family's 1831-position model. The record is from RNAcentral.